GAUGAACGCUGGCGGCGUGCCUAAUACAUGCAAGUCGAACGCAUUGUGGUUGAAAUGAUAUGAAGAACUUGUUCAGAUUUGAUUUUCAACAUUGCAAUGAGUGGCGAACGGGUGAGUAACACGUGGGAAACCUACCUCUUAGCAGGGGAUAACAUUUGGAAACAAAUGCUAAUACCGUAUAAUAAUUAAAACCGCAUGGUUUUAGUUUAAAAGAUGGUCUUGCUAUCACUAAGAGAUGGUCCCGCGGUGUAUUAGUUAGUUGGUGAGGUAAUGGCUCACCAAGACAAUGAUACAUAGCCGAGUUGAGAGACUGACCGGCCACAAUGGGACUGAGACACGGCCCAUACUCCUACGGGAGGCAGCAGUAGGGAAUCUUCCACAAUGGACGAAAGUCUGAUGGAGCAACGCCGCGUGUGUGAUGAAGGUUUCGGCUCGUAAAACACUGUUGUAAGAGAAGAAUGACAUUGAGAGUAACUGUUCAA
RNAcentral lists this ribosomal RNA (482 nucleotides) under uncultured bacterium. RNAcentral's name for it is "bacterial SSU rRNA". It matches the Rfam family "Bacterial small subunit ribosomal RNA", at positions 28 to 472 of the family's 1533-position model. The record is from RNAcentral.